GGAGUUUGGACCGUGUCUCAGUUCCAAUGUGGGGGACCUUCCUCUCAGAACCCCUACCGAUCGAGGGCUUGGUGGGCCGUUACUCCGCCAACUACCUAAUCGGACGCAUCCCCAUCCAUGGCCGGUAAACCUUUUGUCCUCGUUAGAUGUCUGCAAAGGACGCCAUAGGGCAUUAAUCCGCUUUUCAACGGGCUAUUCCCUAGCCAUGGGCAGGUUGGAUACGCGUUACUCACCCGUGCGCCGGUCGCCGCCAGAGUAUUGCUACCCCGCGAUGCCCCUCGACUUGCAUGUGUUAAGCCUGCCGCUAGCGUUCAUC
This 316-nucleotide ribosomal RNA is filed under the name uncultured Prevotella sp. RNAcentral's name for it is "partial 16S ribosomal RNA". The record is from RNAcentral. Lineage: Bacteria; Pseudomonadati; Bacteroidota; Bacteroidia; Bacteroidales; Prevotellaceae.